This 435-nucleotide ribosomal RNA is filed under the name Triticum aestivum (bread wheat). RNAcentral's name for it is "partial small subunit ribosomal RNA". The record is from RNAcentral. Lineage: Eukaryota; Viridiplantae; Streptophyta; Magnoliopsida; Poales; Poaceae.
AUGAUGACCUGCUUCUCUGACCUCAUAAAUGAUCAUUCCCUAGAUUUUUUGUGCUUGCAAGAAACUAUGAAGAAAAAAUUCUCUUCUAGUUUUUUUAGAAAUAUUGAUCCUUAUAAAAUCUUUGAGUGGAACUGGAUUCCCUCUAUUGGUAAAUCAGGAGGUCUUUGUGGGGUAAAGAAAGAAAAGCUAGAAAUAAUUUCUUGGUCUAUGGGUAAAUAUAUCCUACAAGUGAUCAUGUUUGAUGUGGCUAAGAAAUGUGUUUGGGCUUUGCUUAAUGUAUAUGGGGCUGCCCAUGAUGAACAGAAGGAAGAAUUCCUUUCUGAGCUGGCUAAUUUUUGUAGUCACUUGACAAUACCCUAUAUAAUUUGGGGUGAUUUUAAUAUCUUAAGCCAUUGUGGAGAGAAGAAUAAAAAAUGGUGGCCUCACGAUAUAUAG